GCGAGGCUGUCACACUGCCCGGCCCCGGGGCUACUGCCCUCCCGGCUGUGUGGCCCACGGGCCUCAGGCUCCACACCUUGGUCCUGGUCUGGCUGCAGGACUGGGGCGCCUUGGUCCCUCCUCCUGGGCUGAGGUGUCCUGCAGUUGGUCUCCAGGCUGUGUCUCUAUCUGGGCUACACUUUACCCAGCUGUCCCUUCGAAGCCCAGCCUGAGGGCUGCCCUCAGCCCAGACCGAGGGUAGGGACACUCAGGACUGCAGGUCCACACCACUCCUGGGCACUUGCCCUGUCGUGGACCCAGACGCUUGCCGAAACGGCUGAGAAGUCUUGGCCGGGCCUCGCAGGACGGGCGAGUUCGGCGUGGAGAGCCCCGCGUCCCUGCCACGGUCAGAAGAAGGAGUUCUUCCUCCGGCGGAGGAGUCCCAAAGAGCCAGGCCCCCCAGCCCCUGGGCCUGCAGAGGCUACCUUGCCUGGUGGGAUGCCGGGGUCCCCUCCCCUAAGCAGGGCCUCUGCCUCCCCAUUGCCCCACAGGGCCUGGGACGGAUGGUAUGAACCCCAGCCCCAGCCAGAAAGCAGACACUGGGUCUGGGGCCGAGGAGAAGGGGAGCAGGCAGGGCUGCGGGGGCGUCGUGGGGGGUCAGAGCCACUGGCACGGGCCAGGCCGAGAGUUGGGGCCACACUCUGUGCCGCCAGCACCCAGAAGGGCAAAGAAGACACUUCGAUAGCUCAUUAGCUGCCGUCCCUGCUCCCAGAAACAACAUCGCAGGAAGGUGGUUUCAAGGCUCACAUUCCUGCCCUCCUGGCUGCAUUUCAGGUUUAUCAAGGGCCAAACUGUGACAAGCAGAAAAGAAUUCCUGUUCUCAAGUGCUUACAGUUUCAUGGGAGACAAUGAAAAAUUAAAUUUCCAUAUGUUCUAUGUUA
Long non-coding RNA from Lagenorhynchus albirostris (white-beaked dolphin), 920 nucleotides. RefSeq lists it as uncharacterized. The transcript has 2 exons. NCBI's taxonomy places the organism in Eukaryota, Metazoa, Chordata, Mammalia, Artiodactyla, Delphinidae. The record is from RefSeq and is a predicted model, not a curated record.